CCUGGUGAUUUAGCUCGGAGGAAACACCCGUUCCCAUACCGAACACGGCAGUUAAGCUCCUUUGCACUGAUGGUACUAUAUGGGUAACUGUAUGGAAGAGUAGGUUUUGCCAGGU
This 115-nucleotide ribosomal RNA is filed under the name Spirochaetota bacterium. Lineage: Bacteria; Pseudomonadati; Spirochaetota. The record is from RNAcentral.